RNAcentral lists this ribosomal RNA (440 nucleotides) under uncultured bacterium. RNAcentral describes it as "partial 16S ribosomal RNA". It matches the Rfam family "Bacterial small subunit ribosomal RNA", at positions 338 to 795 of the family's 1533-position model. The record is from RNAcentral.
CCUACGGGAGGCUGCAGUGGGGGAUAUUGCACAAUGGGGGGAACCCUGAUGCAGCGACGCCGCGUGGGUGAAGAAGCGCCUCGGCGCGUAAAGCCCUGUCAGCAGGGAAGAAAAUGACGGUACCUGAAGAAGAAGCCCCGGCUAACUACGUGCCAGCAGCCGCGGUAAUACGUAGGGGGCAAGCGUUAUACGGAUUUACUGGGUGGAAAGGGGGCGCAGACGGCGAUGCAAGCCAGGAGUGAAAGCCCGGGGCCCAACCCCGGGAAUGCGCUUGGAACUGCGUGGCUGGAGUGCAGGAGGGGCAGGUGGAAUUCCUGGUGUAGCGGUGAAAUGCGUAGAUAUCAGGAGGAACACCGGUGGCGAAGGCGGCCUGCUGGACUGCAACUGACGUUGAGGCCCGAAAGCGUGGGGAGCAAACAGGAUUAGAUACCCGGGUAGUC